GCUUUUCUAGUACAAACAAUACAAGUGACUUCCAAUCACUAGACCCCCCAAUUAUCCCACCAGGGGAAAAGCA
Alligator mississippiensis (American alligator) is the source of this 73-nucleotide non-coding RNA. NCBI's taxonomy places the organism in Eukaryota, Metazoa, Chordata, Crocodylia, Alligatoridae. The record is from the annotation of a RefSeq genome assembly.